CACAUACUAUGUUAUAAUUGACUCAUUACGAUAUAUGUAAUGUGACAUUGCGCUAGAAAACAAAGAAAAUAUUCUUGCAUUUACGACACAUAAUACAAUCUCUCAGUAAUUUCAAAUGGAGCCUAAUAAAUCAUGACGAGCAUGACAUAGACUCACACUUGAGAUAUAGGGCCCAUUUGGAAUUUUAAAAUUAAAUUUGAAAUUUAAAAUUUUAAAAUCUAAAAUUUGAGAUUUGAAAUUUAAAAUUAAAAUUUAAAAUUUAAAGUUCGAAAUGGAUUUGUCAAAUUUUAAAAUUUAAAAGUUAAAAUUUAAAAAUUCGAAAAUGAAUCUGAAAAUUUAAAUUUAAAAUUAAAUUUAAAUUUAAAUAUUAAAUUUAAAAUUAAAAUAAAAAUUUGAAAUUUGAGCCCAAACUCACAAUUAGAUUUCAAGAAGCAGCUUUUUUCUACUUCUGAUUCUCGGGCCUUCAAAAUCAGUUUUAUAAUUCUGAAAAGCAGAAUCAGAUUCUAAAAAUGUGGUUGCCAAACGCUCUAUUGAGCCGAAAAUCACUUUUCAACUCAAAAACGCUUUUUAAAAUCUAGGCCAAACACCCCCAUAAAUCUACGGUCCAGCAGUUCCAUCUG
This 620-nucleotide long non-coding RNA is filed under the name Ananas comosus (pineapple). RNAcentral describes it as "long non-coding RNA (ACOM_LNC020223)". Lineage: Eukaryota; Viridiplantae; Streptophyta; Magnoliopsida; Poales; Bromeliaceae. The record is from RNAcentral.